Molecule: long non-coding RNA, 500 nt
Filed under: Homo sapiens (human)
Lineage: Eukaryota; Metazoa; Chordata; Mammalia; Primates; Hominidae
Description: HSALNT0391401
Source: RNAcentral
GCUCAUUCAAUGUCUGGAGCAAGCUUUCUGCACUCCACUGCCGGUGCUUUCUGGCUUCAAAAGCAGCUUCGAGACUGAGGAAUAGUAGACAGGAUUAGAAUAAGGCCCGGGAGUUCUACAACUCUGCUGAAUUCAAAAGGACCAUGAUCUUGGUCAGCUAAACCACACCCGAUGGCCAAGGGGCAGAGGAAAAGAUGGCAGAGUAGAGACUCUUGGACUUACUCAUUUGGAUUUUGGAGUUUUACCUGACUUGGUCAAGCCUCAUGCCAGAUCCAGGUGAGUAGCUGCCUGGGCUAAAAAGCUGUCAGUCGAAUCUCGUUUCUGCCAACCUUGACAGAUGAUUCACUGUGAUCCUUAUUUCUUCUCUUUUUGCCUCGAUGUAGGCACUAGGGGUGACUUGCAAUCUCCCAGCAGAGUCUAUUCUGGCCACCUGCUGGGGGAGAAGCUGGCCAACCUCUACAAAGGAAUUGUAUUGAUGUGUAGGAAUUGGGGGAAGGGAG